UACAGAGGGGGCAAGCGUUAUUCGGAAUUAUUGGGCGUAAAGCGCGCGCAGGCGGUCCUUUAAGUCUGAUGUGAAAGCCCACGGCUCAACCGUGGAGGGUCAUUGGAAACUGGGGGACUUGAGUACAGAAGAGGAAAGCGGAAUUCCACGUGUAGCGGUGAAAUGCGUAGAGAUGUGGAGGAACACCAGUGGCGAAGGCGGCUUUCUGGUCUGUAACUGACGCUGAGGCGCGAAAGCGUGGGGAGCAAACAGG
Molecule: ribosomal RNA, 253 nt
Filed under: uncultured bacterium
Lineage: Bacteria
Description: partial 16S ribosomal RNA
Rfam family: Bacterial small subunit ribosomal RNA
Source: RNAcentral